UACGUAGGGGGCAAGCGUUGUCCGGAUUUAUUGGGCGUAAAGAGCGCGUAGGCGGCUAUACAGGUCCGUUGUGAAAACUGGAGGCUUAACCUCCAGACGUCGAUGGAAACCGUAUGGCUAGAGUCCGGAAGAGGAGAGUGGAAUUCCUGGUGUAGCGGUGAAAUGCGCAGAUAUCAGGAAGAACACCCGUGGCGAAGGCGGCUCUCUGGGACGGUACUGACGCUGAGACGCGAAAGCGUGGGGAGCGAACAGG
This 253-nucleotide ribosomal RNA is filed under the name uncultured bacterium. RNAcentral describes it as "partial 16S ribosomal RNA". It matches the Rfam family "Bacterial small subunit ribosomal RNA", at positions 524 to 776 of the family's 1533-position model. The record is from RNAcentral.